AUUGAACGCUGGCGGAAUGCUUUACACAUGCAAGUCGAACGGCAGCACGGACUUCGGUCUGGUGGCGAGUGGCGAACGGGUGAGUAAUGUAUCGGAACGUGCCCAGUCGUGGGGGAUAACGUAGUGAAAAUUACGCUAAUACCGCAUACGAUCUAUGGAUGAAAGCGGGGGAUCGCAAGACCUCGCGCGAUUGGAGCGGCCGAUAUCAGAUUAGGUAGUUGGUGGGGUAAAGGCCCACCAAGCCAACGAUCUGUAGCUGGUCUGAGAGGACGACCAGCCAGACUGGAACUGAGACACGGGCCAGACUCCUACGGGAGGAAGCAGUGGGGAAUUUUGGACAAUGGGCGAAAGCCUGAUCCAGCCAUUCCGCGUGCAGGAUGAAGGCCCUCGGGUUGUAAACUGCUUUUGUACAGAACGAAAAGGUUUCUACUAAUACUAGGAGCUCAUGACGGUACUGUAAGAAUAAGCACCGGCUAACUACGUGCCAGCAGCCGCCGUAA
This 500-nucleotide ribosomal RNA is filed under the name uncultured bacterium. RNAcentral describes it as "partial 16S ribosomal RNA". It matches the Rfam family "Bacterial small subunit ribosomal RNA", at positions 30 to 523 of the family's 1533-position model. The record is from RNAcentral.